RNAcentral lists this ribosomal RNA (478 nucleotides) under uncultured bacterium. RNAcentral describes it as "partial 16S ribosomal RNA". It matches the Rfam family "Bacterial small subunit ribosomal RNA", at positions 28 to 507 of the family's 1533-position model. The record is from RNAcentral.
GAUGAACGCUGGCGGCGUGCUUAACACAUGCAAGUCGAACGGGAAUUCUUUUAUUGCAACUUCGGUCGAUUUAAUUUAAUUCUAGUGGCGGACGGGUGAGUAACGCGUGGGUAACCUGCCUUAUACAGGGGGAUAACAGUCAGAAAUGGCUGCUAAUACCGCAUAAGCGCACAGAGCUGCAUGGCUCAGUGUGAAAAACUCCGGUGGUAUAAGAUGGACCCGCGUUGGAUUAGCUGGUUGGUGGGGUAACGGCCCACCAAGGCGACGAUCCAUAGCCGGCCUGAGAAGGUGAACGGCCACAUUGGGACUGAGACACGGCCCAGAGUCCUACGGGAGGCAGCAGUGGGGAAUAUUGCACAAUGGGGGAAACCCUGAUGCAGCGACGCCGCGUGAAGGAAGAAGUAUCUCGGUAUGUAAACUUCUAUCAGCAGGGAAGAUAGUGAUGGUACCUGACUAAGAAGCCCCGGCUAACUACGUG